CACUGACAUUAGAUACCCGUGUAGUCCCAGCUGUAAACGAUGCAGACUAGGUGUUUGGACGGCCACGUGCCGUUCUAGUGCCGCAGGGAAGCUGUUAAGUCUGCCGCCUGGGGAGUACGAUCGCAAGAUUGAAACUUAAAGGAAUUGGCGGGGGAGCACCACAAGGGGUGAAGCUUGCGGUUUAAUUGGAGUCAACGCCGGAAAUCUCACCGGGAGCGACAGCAGUGUGAUAGCCAGAUUAAAGGUCUUGCUAGACGAGCUG
This 262-nucleotide ribosomal RNA is filed under the name uncultured archaeon. Its description in RNAcentral is "partial 16S ribosomal RNA". It matches the Rfam family "Archaeal small subunit ribosomal RNA", at positions 720 to 982 of the family's 1478-position model. The record is from RNAcentral.